AACGACCCUAACUGGAAAAACAUAUGAUUUGAUAUACCCGUAUUUAGCUACUUUUAUGCUCGUAGUUUGUGGAUUUUCACAGCAAAACUAAGAUGGUACAUUUUGUUUCAGGACUGCAUGGUUGCCAGUAUAGAUUGCACGAUUCUAACUAGUUCAUGUGGAUAGUCCGUCCGUCUUAUGUUUAAUUAAACUAAGAUGGACGAUCCACCAGUGAUAAGUCUUGAGAGAUGAUUCAUUUCUUGUCUAUCUAUUUAUUUAUUUAUUUAUUUAUUUAGCCUCGCCUUGACAAAAAUGUACACAAAACAAGUACAACAAUUCAUAUACAUGAGACAUAACAAGAGGCGGGGACACCACAACAGUUUACACCAAUUACUGUGGGCCCUUUAGCUAAAAUUAGUGACAAAUUACAUGCAGACGGAGAAAAAAAUCAACUAAUUAGUCUAGUAGCAACAGGGAUCGGCAUCGAUUAGAUUGCGCGAUGUGUUGCACUUCAGGCAAACAGUUUUCCAGGUUCGAGCAUCAUCCACGUCGUAACAAGAUACACGGGCAUUAUGGUAGUAUUCUAAUAGUGACUUUUUAAAUAACGUUAGAGAUAAAUGAUCUAGUCUUAAGUGUUCGGGUAAGGAGUUCCAGGUUCUAGUUGCUCUAAUAAAAAAAUGACCGUUGAUAGGUGGCUGUCUUACAUCUACGAGGACGGUACGAGAUAACGCUGUUAUUUGAAGAUGAUCGAGUAAGCCUUGAGGGAAUAGAUCGUUUCGGCAAGAUUUCCUUCGGAACAGUUAUAAUACCAUUUAUGGCCUUAAAAAUAAAAUCAAGUCAAGAUACUCAUGCCAAUACGUUUUAUCUGGCUUACAAAAAUUAUUUUAACACAGGUCCUAUCACUUUGGCCUGAAUGUGUGUAAACGUGCUUUCAACGAUUUUAAAUUUUAAAUUUUAUGUAAAUUUGUAAAUGUCGACAGAAGUCAAAUCGGGA
Paramuricea clavata is the source of this 973-nucleotide non-coding RNA. NCBI's taxonomy places the organism in Eukaryota, Metazoa, Cnidaria, Anthozoa, Malacalcyonacea, Plexauridae. The record is from the annotation of a GenBank genome assembly.